UACGGGGGGUGCGAGCGUUGCCCGGAUUUAUUGGGCGUAAAGGGCGCGUAGGCGGCCACGCACGUCCGUUGUGAAAUCGCCCGGCUCAACUGGGCGGGGUCAGCGGAUACGGUGUGGCUCGAGCAAGCUAGGGGGCAAUGGAAUUCCCGGUGUAGUGGUGGAAUGCGUAGAUAUCGGGAGGAACACCAGUGGCGAAGGCGGUUGCCUGGAGCUUUGCUGACGCUGAGGCGCGAAAGCGUGGGGAGCGAUCCGG
This 253-nucleotide ribosomal RNA is filed under the name uncultured bacterium. RNAcentral's name for it is "partial 16S ribosomal RNA". It matches the Rfam family "Bacterial small subunit ribosomal RNA", at positions 524 to 776 of the family's 1533-position model. The record is from RNAcentral.